GGCUUUUGCUCUUUCCCAGUAAGGAGGAGGCAGACUUUGGCAGCAGAGUCAGCUCCAUGGGUAUGGGAGCCAGAACCAGCCUCAGCCAACUGCUGGAGAUGGAGCCCUAGAUCUAAACUCUCUCAAGUUCCGAGCAUUCAGUUUAAGAGUUGAUCAACACUUAGUGAACAUCCACAGUGUCACCAGGGAUGGCAGAGUGAUGUCACAGAUACAUCUGUCAGAAGCUCACUGUACCCUGACCACUUCUCACUUUAUAUCCUCUACUCUGAACCCCUCCCCAUGCAUUCAUUUGGAAGACAUUGGAUUGUCCCAGUAAGGGAGCAUUAAAAAUGCAGCCAAAUGCAACUUGCAUGUUUUCCACCUUCUCAGCGAGCCUGAAUUAAUAGGUCAGUCC
This 394-nucleotide long non-coding RNA is filed under the name Pan paniscus (pygmy chimpanzee). RNAcentral describes it as "lncRNA (ENSPPAG00000044326.1)". Lineage: Eukaryota; Metazoa; Chordata; Mammalia; Primates; Hominidae. The record is from RNAcentral.